GCAUCCACCUCCAGUUGAAAGUUGAAACUCCAAGGUCCACAAUUUGGGUUUUGGAAGUCACUUUGAUUGCAAUUAAAACAUCACUAUGAUAAAGAGAAGCUGAGAUUGGAAACAAAGACUUCAAGCCCUACAAUUAUGGAUAGUAAUUGCAGGUGCAGGGUGACCAACAUGUAUUAAAUAUCUUUUAAUUUAUACCCAAGAAUUGUGUGCUUAUGCCCUUUUCCUUUUCCAAGAGCUAAAAUUGGAGAAAGCUUGGCAAGAUAGGAAUCGAGAUGGGCCGAACUGACAUCACCGGCAUCCGAUGAGUG
RNAcentral lists this long non-coding RNA (308 nucleotides) under Elaeis guineensis (African oil palm). Its description in RNAcentral is "long non-coding RNA (EGUI_LNC019149)". Lineage: Eukaryota; Viridiplantae; Streptophyta; Magnoliopsida; Arecales; Arecaceae. The record is from RNAcentral.